GAUACAAGGCUCGAAAAGUACCGGACGCGUAUGCUUGCAUACGAAGGACGGACCUUGAGAGCCGAACAAACAUGAGCCAUACCGGUUUCCGAAGGAAAGCGAAAUGUAUGGCGAAUGUUUGUAGGAUUUCGGGAGCGCGAAGCGCGGAGAAAUCCGUAGUAU
RNAcentral lists this small RNA (162 nucleotides) under bovine gut metagenome. RNAcentral's name for it is "Clostridiales-1 RNA". It matches the Rfam family "Clostridiales-1 RNA". The record is from RNAcentral.